This 403-nucleotide ribosomal RNA is filed under the name Staphylococcus sp. F03_22. RNAcentral describes it as "bacterial SSU rRNA". It matches the Rfam family "Bacterial small subunit ribosomal RNA", at positions 359 to 754 of the family's 1533-position model. The record is from RNAcentral. Lineage: Bacteria; Bacillati; Bacillota; Bacilli; Caryophanales; Staphylococcaceae.
GAAUCUUCCGCAAUGGGCGAAAGCCUGACGGAGCAACGCCGCGUGAGUGAUGAAGGUCUUCGGAUCGUAAAACUCUGUUAUUAGGGAAGAACAAACGUGUAAGUAACUGUGCACGUCUUGACGGUACCUAAUCAGAAAGCCACGGCUAACUACGUGCCAGCAGCCGCGGUAAUACGUAGGUGGCAAGCGUUAUCCGGAAUUAUUGGGCGUAAAGCGCGCGUAGGCGGUUUUUUAAGUCUGAUGUGAAAGCCCACGGCUCAACCGUGGAGGGUCAUUGGAAACUGGAAAACUUGAGUGCAGAAGAGGAAAGUGGAAUUCCAUGUGUAGCGGUGAAAUGCGCAGAGAUAUGGAGGAACACCAGUGGCGAAGGCGACUUUCUGGUCUGUAACUGACGCUGAUGUGC